GGAAAGAUGAGGAACAUGAAAAAAAGGAAAUAAGAAUGUAUUUUGUGAUUUCCAAAAAUGUAGUUUAUAUCAAACUUUGAAAUCUAGAAAUUGACAAUGAGGGUCAUUUAAACCUCUUAAAAAAUGCAUAUUUUAUAAAUGAUACAUGUAUUUAAAUUGUUUUGUGCUAUUGUAGGAACCAAGAUCAUUUAUGUUCACACCCC
This 203-nucleotide long non-coding RNA is filed under the name Mytilus galloprovincialis (Mediterranean mussel). The record is from RNAcentral. Lineage: Eukaryota; Metazoa; Mollusca; Bivalvia; Mytilida; Mytilidae.